AACAUCAGAAACUGAAGGAAAAUCAGAUAAUCCUAUCACCAUGGAUAAAUCUUAUGUAAAUAACGGGCUUGAAACAGAAAAGGUGGAUGCAAAAAUUGAGUUAUUUAUUGACAACAGUAUUAGUUGCAUACCUGGAUUAAGUAAGAAGCACUGCCGUCAGCUAGAAAAUGGGGGCUUUCACACGAUACGGAAACUGCUGCGCCAUUUUCCUCGUACCUAUGCGGACUUGCAGAAUGCACAGGUUGAAAUUGGUGAUGGACAGUACUUAAUUUUUAUUGGGAAAAUCUUGUCCUCCAGGGGAAUCAGAGCCAGCCGAUCUUUUUCAUUUCUUGAGGUGGUUGUGGGCUGUGAGAUAGCAGAAAAUGAAGGAAACUUGUGUCAUGUUACUGUUGAUAUUGAUAAUGGAAGAAAGAAAAUAAUUUAUUUGCAUUUGAAGAAAUAUUUCAGUGGUGCUCGGUUUGCUUGUCAACCUUUUCUUAGAAGUCUUGAGGAGAAGCAUAAACUGGGGGAGUUUGUAUGUGUUAGCGGUAAGGUAAGAACAAUGUACCAAAGAUCACUAUGAAAUGAGGGAAUAUAGUAUUGACGUGCUAAAUGAUGAAAAAGAAUCAUCUCUUCGCACAAGAGGAAGGCCAUACCCUAUAUACCCUUCAAAAGGAGGCCUGAACCCCAAUUUUCUUAGGGACAUUAUUGAAAGGCAUAUAUUGGGAUUCACCAGCCAAAGAAUAUAGAAGAGGCUGAUUUAGCUCGCAAAAGACUUAUAUUUGACGAGUUCUUUUACCUGCAGUUGGGACGCCUAUUCCAAAUGCUCGAAGGGCUUGGUACACAAAUAGAGAAAGAUGGACUGCUCGAUAAGUACAGAAGACCCGAAGUAAAUGCUAUUUAUGUGGAGGAAUGGUCUAGUCUUGCAAAGGAAUUUUUAAAGGCUCUUCCGUAUUCCCUCACUUCUAGUCAGCUAACUGCUGUUUCGGAAAUAAUAUGGGACCUGAAGAGACCAGUUCCAAUGAAUCGUCUUUUGCAGGGGGAUGUUGGAUGUGGGAAAACUGUUGUUGCAUUCUUGGCAUGCAUGGAGGUUAUUGGUUCUGGUUAUCAGGCAGCUUUCAUGGUUCCCACUGAGUUGCUUGCAGUCCAGCAUUAUGAGCACUUGUGCGAGUUACUUGAGAAUAUGGAGGUCCAGGCCAAGCCAUCUGUUGCUCUUCUUACAGGUUCAACCCCAUCAAAAAAAUCGCGAAUGAUUCGUAAGGAUCUCCAAACAGGAGACAUCUCAAUGAUAAUUGGAACUCACAGUUUAAUAGCUGAUAAUGUGGAGUUCUCUGCUUUACGUAUUGCUGUGGUGGACGAACAACAUCGUUUUGGUGUUAUUCAGAGAGGAAGAUUUAACAGUAAGUUGUAUACUGCCUCUGUGAAUUCAACAAUGGCACCAGCUAAUUCAGAUGGUCCUCCAAAAGGUGAUGGAUAUAUGGCCCCUCAUAUCCUUGCCAUGUCUGCUACUCCUAUUCCAAGAACACUUGCUCUGGCUUUAUAUGGAGAUAUGUCCCUUACUCAGAUAACUGACUUGCCCCCUGGAAGAUUGCCAGUUGAAACAUAUAUUUUUGAAGGAAAUGACAAUGGCUUUGAGGAAGUUUACACUAUGAUGCUGGAAGAAUUAGAAGCAGGAGGCAAAGUGUAUCUUGUGUAUCCAGUCAUUGAACAAUCUGAGCAACUACCUCAACUUCGUGCUGCUUCUGCAGAUCUUGAAGCUAUCUCACAUAAAUUUCAGGGUUACAGAUGUGGUUUAUUGCAUGGAAGAAUGAAAAGUGAUGAAAAAGAUGAAGCAUUGAGAAGGUUUAAAACUGGGGAUACACAUAUACUGCUUUCCACUCAGGUAAUCGAGAUUGGAGUAGAUGUUCCAGAUGCAACUAUGAUGGUUGUAAUGAAUGCUGAGAGAUUUGGAAUAGCUCAGUUGCACCAACUUCGAGGACGAGUUGGACGUGGAGUAAGAAAGUCUAAAUGUAUAUUAGUAGCAUCUACUGCUAGUAGCCUUAACCGUCUGAAGGUAUUGGAGAAAUCAUCUGAUGGCUUUCACUUGGCAAAUAUCGAUCUUCUUCUACGUGGUCCUGGUGACUUGCUUGGUAAAAAACAAUCGGGACACCUUCCAGAGUUUCCUAUUGCCAGAUUGGAAAUCGAUGGCAAUAUUUUACAAGAAGCACAUGCUGCUGCACUGAGAGUUUUAGGUGAUUCUCAUGAUUUGGACAAAUUUCCUGCGUUAAAAAUAGAGCUUAGCAUGCGUCAGCCACUUUGCCUGCUGGGUGAUUGAGCUUCAGCUAUGUUAAAAUUUGAGUUGUCAAAUUCAGUCUGAAAUUGUAUAUUUUCUCAUAUAUUGGAAGUUUAGACAUAGAAAUCAGCACCUGGGCUAAUCAAUUUUUUCUGCUUAUUAAUUGCACUCGCACCACCAACAGGACUAUUGACUGUGGCGGAGAUUACAGUCAUGAAUUGCCAUCACCGUAAGUAAUUGUUUAUGGUUGUUGAUCAUCAUAAAUUCGAUUUUUUUUUUUUAAAUAUAUAGUUUGCAGAUAGUUUUCACCAGUUAUCAGAACCACUGUGUCCCAUUUGUCACCAAUCUCUCCUCAGGCUGAGUUUUCAACAUGUACAUCAUGAGCAUCUAUAGACGUGUUUUUAUCUAGUAAUGAACGUAUUCUUUAAUUUGGGUGUUUCAAACAUUUCAAAAAACUAAAAGUGAUGACA
Molecule: non-coding RNA, 2721 nt
Organism: Carica papaya (papaya)
Lineage: Eukaryota; Viridiplantae; Streptophyta; Magnoliopsida; Brassicales; Caricaceae
Source: RefSeq, a predicted model, not a curated record